GAGUUUGAUCCUGGCUCAGAUUGAACGCUGGCGGCAGGCCUAACACAUGCAAGUCGAACGGUAACAGGAAGAAGCUUGCUUCUUUGCUGACGAGUGGCGGACGGGUGAGUAAUUUCUGGGAAACUGCCUGAUGGAGGGGGAUAACUACUGGAAACGGUAGCUAAUACCGCAUAACGUCGCAAGACCAAAGAGGGGGACCUUCGGGCCUCUUGCCAUCGGAUGUGCCCAGAUGGGAUUAGCUUGUUGGUGGGGUAACGGCUCACCAAGGCGACGAUCCCUAGCUGGUCUGAGAGGAUGACCAGCCACACUGGAACUGAGACACGGUCCAGACUCCUACGGGAGGCAGCAGUGGGGAAUAUUGCACAAUGGGCGCAAGCCUGAUGCAGCCAUGCCGCGUGUAUGAAGAAGGCCUUCGGGUUGUAAAGUACUUUCAGCGGGGAGGAAGGGAGUAAAGUUAAUACCUUUGCUCAUUGACGUUACCCGCAGAAGAAGCACCGGCUAACUCCGUGCCAGCAGCCGCGGUAA
Molecule: ribosomal RNA, 525 nt
Filed under: uncultured bacterium
Lineage: Bacteria
Description: bacterial SSU rRNA
Rfam family: Bacterial small subunit ribosomal RNA
Source: RNAcentral